GAUCUUUAUUUUUAUUAUUUAUAAAUUAAAAAGAAUUAUAUUAUUUAUAUUUUAAUUAAAAAUUUUAUUGGGGUGAUAUUAAAAUUUAAAAAACUUUUAAAAUUAAAUAACAUAAAUAUAUGAUUUAUUGAUCCAAUUUUAUUGAUUAAAAAUUUAAGUUACCUUAGGGAUAACAGCGUAAUUUUUUUUUAGAGUUCAUAUCGACAAAAAAGAUUGC
RNAcentral lists this ribosomal RNA (217 nucleotides) under Culex comminutor. Its description in RNAcentral is "partial 16S ribosomal RNA". Lineage: Eukaryota; Metazoa; Arthropoda; Insecta; Diptera; Culicidae. The record is from RNAcentral.